UCCAGAGAACAAUGAGAAUUUGAUCGUUAUGAAUCAAUCACAAGGUCAGCCAGAGAAAGUUGCAACCUUGAGAGAAUCUUUGCUCUUUCAGAAUAUACUGGCAUCAGAAAUCAGGAGAUUUUGACAGUCAAAGGUCACAGGACCCUGACAAUAGGCAACAUUACUAGGAAAAAUAGCAUUGGUCUUUGGUGAUCUAUGAGACAGAAUUGGAGAUCCAUUCUGAGAUCCAUGAGACAGCUGGCCUCAUGUUCAAAGAAAAGGAUCAUUUUGAGGGGCAUCAUAGACUGACAAUUCCACCAUCUGUUGUCAUUUCAACUAUAUUAUGGGUCCACAUGCUAUCAGUGGCUUGGUAAUCUUAAUUGCCAGCUCACAGAUGCCACCACUAUCCGGAUGCGACGCCAUGAACAGAAGGCAGGCGUGUAAGUUCAGACAUGAAGGCUUUCUCCACCAAUACAAAUCUGGAGUAGAACAGAAUUCCUUCCAAGCAUCGUUGGCUGAAAGAACUGUGUUCUCAUUGAAAGUGAGGAAUAUGGAACCAGCUACUGUCUAAUGACCCUCUGACAUUCCAAUAAAGACCUUUUUGUUGCAGUA
This is a non-coding RNA of Phascolarctos cinereus (koala), 591 nucleotides long. NCBI's taxonomy places the organism in Eukaryota, Metazoa, Chordata, Mammalia, Diprotodontia, Phascolarctidae. The record is from RefSeq and is a predicted model, not a curated record.